This 16575-nucleotide long non-coding RNA is filed under the name Triticum aestivum (bread wheat). Its description in RNAcentral is "long non-coding RNA (TAES_LNC011245)". The record is from RNAcentral. Lineage: Eukaryota; Viridiplantae; Streptophyta; Magnoliopsida; Poales; Poaceae.
UUCUUUCUAUAGAUCAAACAAGGAAACACCCGCGACGACGAUUAGAUCGCCAUGUAGAGCCGCGGGACACCGCCGAUUUUUGUUGUAGAUCAAACGAUGAGAUAUCCACGGCGACGACUAGAUCGUCAUGUAGAGCCGCGGGACACCGCCGAUUUUUGUUGUAGAUCAAACGAUGAGACAUCCACGGCGACGAUUAGAUCGCCAUGUAGAGCCGCGAGAUGCCACAAAAAGAAGUGAACAAAGAGAAGAAAAAUAAAUAAAAGAGAUAAAUGAUCAUAUGCAACCUUCAUAUGAUUUACUCACCAUAUGGCUGUGCCAUCGACGCCGGCCACGGAGGGAAACGCUAGACGAAAAAUGGAGAUGUGUGUAUGUGUGAGUGCUGGGAUGGAGAUGAUACGAAGUGUGUGUGUGUGUGUGUUAAAUGGUGGUGAGAUGAGCGUGUAAAUGGUGCGUGCGUUGUGAGUGAGCUGAACCCCCUUUGCAGUCACUAGAGCAGCCCUUUUAUAGCAUCGUCUCCACCGGCGAAUAGAUAAAAAGAUAAGUACGAGAGAUUAGCAUCGUCGUCGCUGCCGUUAAUACUUAGUAACAAACACUUGGCCAAUACUUAUCUCUAGUCUCUCGGUGUUGUUGAACCGAGAAAACAACAAACACUUGGCCAAUACUUAUCUCUUCGUGGAUCUAGUCAAGUCCAAUUGAUUUAGCUUUUUUUAUCUCCAGCCGCUACACACCUUGCUUUGUACCAGUUUAAAUAUAUACGCGUCCAACUAGCCGAUGGCAUCGUACAAGAUUUCGUUCACGUUAUACGCACCAGACGUUAUUGCUGGGAUAGCUGCUGAUCAGUGGGUCCGUGCAUGCACAUGUGGUUCAUUCUAUUGGCAAACUGGCUGAUCCAAUAAACGAUUUGACCCAUACAAGUGAAUAUGCGUCAACGUGACUAGACCAGAUAAUUAUUAAAUAUAUAUAUUUGCCUCGCAUGAUGAGAGAGAAAAAAAUGGAGUCAAACAAAUGCCCCUCGCCAAGUUGAGUUCAAAUGCGAAGCAAUUUGGACUUAACUUGGCGAAAUAUUUCCAUACCUCAUCUGGAAAAGUCAAUCUCAACUGUCCGAGAUAACUGAGACACCCAAACCAUCGUAGAGACUCAAAGCCUCCUUUAGAUCCGCAACAACUCAGCCAACCUGCAGAUUCUAUAUCAACAACCAUCAUUAUCUUAAACUGACUGUACUAUAAAUACCCAUGCACUCCUCGGCUCAGCCCUUAAAACUUUUCUCCCAAGUUCCUGAUAUACGCAGCCGCACCCCAAUCCACGCAGCAGAACAAGGCUUCCUCCAUCGUAACUCUCAGGUAAAGCUGAAUAUCUUGUUUUUGCAAUUGCUUUCUCUCUCCUUUUAAUAGAUUAUAUAUGGGUGCUAGCAUUGUCAGCUAGCAAUCUUCUGUAAAACGAUCUAUACUAGAUUUCAGCCAAACUGCAGUUGAAGGCGGAAAAAAAGUAGAGUUGACAAUGCAAACUUCUUGAUUGGUUAAAGGCCACGGUUGCUCACUAGGCGGCUCUGCAUAGAGCGAUCAAGCUAAAACAGAUCUUGCGCCAAGUACAGCCACAGCUGUAAUUAUCCCGAGGACAGGGGCGUCGUCUGCUGUACUUUGUAUGUAGUAGUCUUCGUUAGGCUGAGUCGAAGGGACAGUUGACAAGAGAUAGCAACCUGAAGCACAACGAUUUCAUCUGCUGCACUUGCAUCACGGAUUUCCACCAGAUUGUUCUGAAACCAAAGGAAGUUGCUGGAACUAGCGCAUGUAUUCGCAUCAUCAUAGCUUGCCACUGGAUGUCGUCCUUCUUAUUGAUUGCAUAGUCUUCGUCAGGUUCAGUUUCACUCAGUUGAAUAUCUUUGAGAAAUAUUGCGCUGUGUCAUGACAGAUUCACACCUUGAUAAAGUGUCCCAGUAGAUGGCAAAGGUGGCAUAUUGUCGCUUCAGAAACUUAUCGAGUACGAUGCCUAAAUAUUGAAACUGAAUUAUAUGACUGCCUUUUUUUUUAUCCAUUUGACAGUACCACCAUCUACCCACAUCUCUGUUGUAACCAUUUUUUUUACUCUUAUGCAGUUAAGAAAUCUUCCUUGUUCUUGUUGAAUGCAUAAUAAUUUCUUUCGGCGCCAUGGGAGCAGGCCCUUUGCAGAUCGGGAAGGGCCUAGGGAAGAAUACGACGGGCAUAUCAUCGCUGGGGAGCGACUGCAAAGGAACAGAGACGACCACCACAGUUUCGGUCGUGGGAGGGGUGGUUAUAAUCCUCUGUUUUACCGCCACAAUUUCAGUCAUGGAAGGAGAGGCUAUAAUCAUCGGCACUACCGCCACAAUUUCAGUCGUGGUAGGGUAAACCACAAUUCUUUGCCUUACCGUCACACUGUUACUCGGGAUUUUAGAACAGAACAUUCUUCUGAUUACGAUCGUCAGCACAAGUCUGAACUUGACAUCUCUGAUAUGAGUGAUAAACGCACGAAAAGCACUACAGAGGGUGGAUCCUUGGCUCAAAGAGAAAAACAGAAGGUAAAUGCAAACCUACUUCUCCACCAGUCCGUAUAUUUUAUAUGCUAUUCCCUUUCUUACUUAAACUCCCCUUUUUUUAAAAAAAGAAGGCUCGUCAAGGCCGUGCUUCCUCUCAAACUGAAACUAGCCACAUCAGUGAUGGUGGCACAGAUAUCGACAAAAGCGCAGGCGACGAUGGUGAGGGCGUCAUUUGGGAAGAAUCGCAUGAGGUUUAUAAUGAUGACGCACUGAAGUUACUUGAUGUUGACAAAGAUAUUGAGGAUGAUGAUAUUGAGCCUUACAUUACUGAAGCCGCUAACUUAUUGGGCUUUGAGCGCACACAUAGGUUGAAGAUCCAAGCCGUGCCCCUUGACAAAAGCAAAGUCCCCACACCUCCUCAACAGUUAACGAACAAAGUCCUCCGUUUUGAAGGAUUUCAGUAUAAAAAUGAACUUGUUACAGCAGAUCAGGACACAACUUUUGUUGUUUUAGAGCCAAUUUCAAAAGAGGCGCCAUCAAUCAUUAUUAACACCCUGGCACAGGAGUUCAUACGCAAUCCUGCGAAGCAGUGGCAUAACGAUUCUUCCCUUCAACUUUGUACUGCAAUCCCCUAUAACCAUAAACUGUUGCUUUGGGCUCGGAUGAUGCUCAUAUCAGAGGAAGACAAGGAAAUGUUGCUCAAGGCUGAUAUCUUCCGUGGUGUAUUGGCAUCUCUUUAUCAUGUUCCGAUCAAUCCUUCACUACUUGCUGCCUUUCUUACAUUUUGGAACACUAACGGACAUACCUUGAUUACUUCUCAAGGGGAGAUGGGCUAUCCCCUUAUAGCUAUGUAUGAUGCUAUGGGCAUUCCAAUUUCUGGGCACCUUUAUGAGGAAUAUUUCCCAUUGCCGUCUGAAGUUUCAGAGAUUGUAAAAGUCCUUCACUCAGCCUAUGCUGAUAUCUAGGUGUUGCAUCAGAAUGGAAGCUCUUGUAAAGUCACUCUUCAAAAUUGGUUGGAUUAUUUUAUAGGUAUGAAAAUAAUAUAUAUAUUUUUACAUAUACUUCUAUUCAACCAUAGUGUCUUAACCUGGACGGCAUAUAUCAUUGUAGGAGAAGAUCUCGGAGCUGUUGGCAAAACUGAAGCAAGGGUGCCAAGUCAUUUCUAUGCUGAUCCUGAAGAUCCCUUGCUCUCUCAUCUAGAGUUUCGUACGUUGUCUUUGCAGAAACGCUGGUCGGCUAGAUUUGGCAACCAUGUAAUUUUUUACAAGCAGACAUAUGAACGAGAAAUAUACCGUGCCGCCUUCAUCGCAGCUUGGCUAUGCACAUACUGUGUUCCUAUCAAUAUGGGGUCCUUUAUUCGGCCGGAGGUCUUCUGUGCUGCAGCUAGACUUGCUCAAGGGAUCCGUCUUGCGAUUGGUACGGCAAGCAUGGCCUAUCUUUACCAAAGUCUUGAUAAUGUUUGUCAAGAGAUUAUAGCCGGAUCAAAGUCAGCAAGUGAGUGCCAACUGCCAUUACCUGCACAUUUUAUUAUGGGCUGGUUCUCCUCUUAUUGGAAAAUGACACCUUCACAACCAGCGGUGAAUCCAAAAAUUACUCACUUCCCGCCGUUCGUGACGGACGCAUGGAGAAUCACAUCUACAACAAUUGAUCUGUUCAAAGCCCAUCAGUUGUUCCUUGACUCAGCUGCAGAUAGCAAAUCUCUGCUUUCCUUAUCUUUCUUGGGGAAAUCUCGCAUACGUUUCCCUCAGUCAGAGUCUGAAUUUUUGAUAAGUGAUGCACGAGAAGCCACAGAUGGUGGACACCGUACUAUCCGUAUUACAACUAUCGACAUGCUAAUCAGUUGUGGUGUGGGUGCUGUUACACAUACUCAAUGUCAACUCCAUCACAACUUGGUAUAUUCCCCUCAUCGUUUUGCUCGGAUGCAUGGGUGUGAUCAAGAUGUCCCUGACUUCCUGAUGGAAGGACCCAAUGGAGAAUAUCUUCUGCAGUUUUCUAGUUAUUUGAAGGGCACCCGUGAGGAAACAAUUGAGCACCUUCAGCGACGACACCUGGCUUACUACUUUCCAACCGGUCAUCAGCUUCAUUUACAGCCCUUGUCACGGCGAACCAAGCGCUCUAUUGAGUAUGUGACGUGGUGUACAUCAGCACUUGGUUUCCUCACUAAAGCUGAUAUGAUCUGUUCAGGUCAAGAACCAUCAUCUGCUCUCCAGAAAGGGGAGAUUGAAAUACCUUCUAACACAGGUACAUAUUCCUCUUGUAGCAUUUUCUUUAAGUCUAGCUAACAAAAAAUAUAUUUGGCUGUAGCAAUUUCACGUACAUUGAAGAUCCAGAAGAAAAAUUCAACAAAGAUGAAUCUUGCCUCCACUAGUGACGAAGGAAAUAAGGCAGCCCCUAAUUCAGGUAACUGCAGAAUUUCAUUGUUCAUACUAAUGUCAUGCUGCUGUUCUCUUGUCUUUUCAGGUGAUAACAUUUUUUUAAUACAGGUGUUCCUACCAUCGCGGCAUCACCAAACAGAAGAGGACUCGAGCUAGUUGCCGUAACAAGAAAAAUAAAAUGGCCCCUGAAUGUAAAAGAUAUUCCUCUUCACUGAAAACUAACUAUUCUUUAUUGAAACAUUGCAAGUCGAGCAGUGUACUGAUCAUAAAAAUUGUAUCCCCUUUGUAGCUUCACUCGAGCCUGCCACUGUCCAUUCAUCGAUAGAAAAUCCUCAGGUUUCAGAUAUCAAGACAAAUAUGACUUCGCCCGGAUUAGGUAAUGAGAAUUGUUUCUUAGCAUUAAAUGACUGUCUUUUGUAUGUUCUAAACUUGCUCCUGUCACAACCAUGUAUAUCUAUGAACAGAACAAAUAGCUGCCAAACAGUCUGACACACUGCCUACUGGAAAGAGAAACAAAUCCAAAGCGAUGGCUGCUCGAUUCCUCAGAAUUUCCCAUGCUCUCAUAACUGAUCACGGCAUAAAGAAGGAUGUGGUUACUACUGACUCUCGUGAUCCUAUAUCCGCUGACAGCGGAAUGUCACCACCCCAAGAGACCAACAUUCUUCAGACAGUUGGAGAAAAACGUUCCUCCCCUCACCGUGUAGCUGAAGCAGAGAAAUGUAGCUUGGAGAACCUCAACACUGAAGACAAACAUCUGGAUGUGACACUUGAACAUGCAGACCAACAGCAUGAUAGCCCCCUGAAGAAACAGCGUUUGGAUCGUCCAGGUAACUAGACCAAAGUUUGUUGUUUUGGUAGUACUGACAUAUAAUGUAAGCACACAAAAUCUGCCCCGCUCACUGAACUUUUCUCAUUUCUCAUUCCAGGUGGAGAACAUGACUUGGAGAUGGCUUUGUCCAAAGCCGCAACACUGAAGUCCAGUAUGGACCAGACCAUAAAACGCUUUUUGGAGAACGUUGGUGAUGAAUUCAUCAGCCUUAAACGCAAUUCCGAGCCGAAGGAGCUCAACAAAUAUAAGGGACGUAGCAGGAUUGUGGUGCCCCAGUAUGCUGACCCUAGUCUGAGAGAUAUGAUGGUCUAUGUUCAGUCUGACCUUAAGAAGAUUCAGAAGUGGAUCGCUGCACCGAUAUUGGACAAAGUUGCUUUGAGUACACGGAUUGCAACAAUCUUGAACCGGUGGAGAACCAUGUUACAAACCAAAAUCCCGCAGGAGGUACAGGAACUCAUGAAUGAGUUAGAGUGCUUAAAGAUGAAUCUUGAUAGCAAGUCAGAUCAUGCUGUUCCCUUUAGUAUUUUCAAUCUGCGAGCAGAUGAAGAGCAUAUCAAAGAGCAGUUAAAAAUGGGUAAGAAGUCUCGUGAGUCCAUCAUGGUGGGAUACGACUCUCUUAAGGAUUACGGCAACGUAUGGGGCAGCCUCGAGGAUGAAGUGAAGAAAAGGAAAGAGGAAUAUCUCGAAAAGAUCAAGGAGCUGAACAAUGCCAUAGGAAUCGCCAGAUCCAAGCUCUCCCUGGAAAAGGAGUAUGAAACUAGGCUCAUUCAGCUUCACGGCCAGUAUGACGAAAUAAUGAGCGAAGCACACACUUCCGUCUCUCGUUUGGAAGAAACCCUGGCACAAGGAAGUUCCUGCUUGGAGAGCAUUCAUAAGGCUAUUGGGGAAGCUGGGAGCCAAGGUGACUCUGAACUUCCUUCUGGUCUGCGUGAGCAACUCAAGUUCAUGGAAUCCUGCGCAGUGGAAGGUGUCGAACAGGAUGACGAGUAAAACCAUAUUCAGCGUGUUCCUUUUACUUCAAAAUCAUUCAUGCUUUUUUUCUCUUUUUUUUAAGAAAGCUCGCGUCGUAGUUUGCUUUUGUCAGCUGCUGGAUUUAUCACUGUAAUCCGCCUUAUUAUUUAUCAAUAAAGGAACACAUUCCUCUUUGCUAUCGCUGUUAUACUUGUACAUUUUUUUUACUAUAUGCUUUAUAUGACUGAAUUCCUUUGUGGGACUCCUUAUUCUUGAGCAUGAAACGGCAAAACCAGGCUAAACUCUUGGUCAACGGAAACAUGUCUUUUGAGAAACGCGCAAGAAUGGCUUUCUUGUGCUGUAUGUCCAUCCUAACCUUCUGUACUAGUAAUUGUGAAGUAUCAUAUUAUCGACUUUAUUCAACAAAAUUAUUGCUUGAUUGCCAUCAUGUAAAUAGAAAUAAUAUUGGGUGAGAACACAGCGAAAUUCCCUGCCGUGCUGCAAUUCGAUCGUGGCUCAUAGCGUAAAACCAUACUAUAAGCUGACAGUAUACAUAUUAUUCAGGCUGAAUCAGUAGCAGGUGAGGCCAUAGCGAAAAUCCAUGCUGCGACCACGCCAUGAAAAAUCAAAAUAUCCAAUUGAGACCACGAUGGUGCCAGCCAAAAGGAUGAUUGUACUUAAUGACUGUCAUGGUAUGUAUAAUCCGGAUUCUGGCGAAGUACCAUGCCAUUAUCGUGAACUUCUCUGCGACCAUGCUACUGCUUUGGUGCCAACCAAAGAAUUCCAUGCCUAAUCAUUAAAAGCAAAAUAAUCUUGAGCUGGGGCGAAAGAACCUGCCCUAAUUCAAGGGAAAUUAUCAAUUCUACUGCGACUAUUACAUGCUCAUAGUGCCAGCCAGUGGAAUCGAAUAGUUGCUGGGUUACGGCGAACACCAUGCCACUCCCAAUUUUUUUUAAAAAGUCAUCAUAGCGAAGAAGGUUUAGAACCAAAUAAAGUAUGAUUACCUCAAAUCGCAAUUUAAAAUACAUACAUGUCUUGCACCACUAAAUGCCAUAAGACUGAAUAAAAAGAGAUAAAAGGCAGGAAAAAAACACAGUGAUGGCAAACAGAGUUAUACGAACACCUUGUUUUUUUUUUGGUUUGUUGGUUGGUUUGUGGGCUCCACCUUCAAUUGUUAGACUAUGAGGUGACCCACGAGUAAAGUUGCAAGGGAUUCAUAUGCCUUUCAUAUGCCCAAGUGAUCAUCGGCCCGGACCUCGUGGUCGACGUAUAGAAGUGUGGAUUCAGACUUCUCAUGGCUGUCAUUGCUUUGUAUAACUCCUAUUUUUAUUUAUCACCCUUCAUGAAUGCUCUCCUCAGAUGCAGUUCUCAUGAACAUGUCUCUUGGACUUUAAACUCCACACCCAAAAUUGUUGCUCUGCCUGACCUCACUCAGGCGAUCAAAUCCACACGCAACUAAAACUCAUGUGCCACAGUCUGAACAUUGGGAAGGGGAGUCCUUUAUUUUAUUUUAGGGCGAACUGUGGCCCUUUUUGUUUUAUUUAAAAAAUUUAGAUGAAAAAAUUAAUCCAUGAUCAGCAAUGAGGAUGCUGUAUGGACACCAAGAGAAAAAACUUUCUUUUUAUUACAUUCUCCUGAACUUGCCCUUGGGCUGCUAGGCAAAAUACUUCUUGAGGAACUUGCCAUUGAUAGGAGGCAUUGGACGCACACCCUCUUGAUCAAUGAGUUGAUAAGCGCCACCAUCAUAAACCUGUUCAAUAACAUAUGGCCCCUCCCAUUUGGGCUCAAAUUUUCCUUUACCUUUUCCUAUGAGCACAAUAGGACGCCGAAGAACCAGCACCAGUUCUCCUUUUCUAAAAACUCGCGGCUUGACGAGUUUAUCGUAGGCUCGUACCAUAUUCUUGCGAUAAAGCUCAAGAUUUUGAAGUACACGUAGGCGCCCCUCUUCAAUAGCGUCUAACUCCUGGUACCGUAAUUUGACUUGUUCAUCUUCUGUCAGCUCAUCACGUAUCGCCACACGGAGCGACGGUAUUUCAACCUCAAGUGGUAAGNNNNNNNNNNNNNNNNNNNNNNNNNNNNNNNNNNNNNNNNNNNNNNNNNNNNNNNNNNNNNNNNNNNNNNNNNNNNNNNNNNNNNNNNNNNNNNNNNNNNUGCACUGACAUAUGUAGGUCUGGGGUCUUCCUCGGUACCUAAAUUGAUUUCAACUAACUCAUCAAUAGUAAGCUGAAUAUCAUCUUCGAGUUGCUGGGGAGCAGGAGCAGCAUCGAGAACCUCUCCAUGAGCCACCGGCAUGGCCUCAUGCAUCUUGGAGAGGAGAUAUUGUUUAUUUCUCAAACCUUCACAAGCAUUUGCCGCGGCUUCAAAGGAACGUGGUUGAUACGGACAUGAAUAUAUUGGCAUAAGCUCGUCGUCAUCUGAAGAUGCUUCAUCUAAACCAAGAUAAUCUUCAUUUCUAACCGAAGAGGUCACGCAACUAUUAACUCGUUGUACCAUACAUAAAUCUUCAUCAUCAUCUGAAGAAGCGGCCUCAUUAUAACCAAGACCAUACUUUGGUUGAACUGUACUUCUCUUCCUAAUUAAAUUCUCCGCUUGUUCCCACCAUUCUUCACAAACAACUGGUGGUGGUGGUAGCCUGCUAUUUGGUUGUACCAAAAUUCCUGCCUUUUUUAAUAAUGGAAUCAUCCUGUCCUCAACUUUCAUAGUCAUGAGUGCUUCUUCAAUGGCAAAAACCCGAUCAGACUGCUUAUAUAUGUCAUCACAUGGUCGCUUUUCUGGGACCUUAUAAAAAAUAGUAGGCAAGGUGUUCUCACUUUAUUUUUGAACAGACAAAACAUCCAAUGGUGUGGUAACUGAAACAUAUAGUGAGGGGGUUGCAUAAGCAAAUCUGGAACCCUCAACGUUGUGCCUGAAGGUUCCUCAUCCAAUUUCUUUGUGAGAACCACAGGAAUAGCAGUCGUUGGAGCAUGUGCCUUUAACAAAAUAGGAGCAGUAACUGAUAAAGCGCGCCCUCUUGUGACCCCUACCUCCAUUGAUGAGCUAGUAGAUGAAGCAGUGUCUGUUGUUAACAAGACUGGCGUAGUCGCAGACAAAACCCGUCCUGUAGGCCUAGAUGAUGAACCUUCUGCUCUCAUAUUUGCAUUACCACAUUGCUGAUCUCGUGACUUCCUUAUCAAAGCAGUCUCUCUUGAGUGGGCUGAGCAAGGUGUGAUUAGAAAUUUCAUUUCCGUGGGGGAUGGUGUAGCAUCCGGCGUGACUAACACAUCAGCAUUAGGUGUUGUUCGUCCCUGCUAUUUCCCUGACUCGAUACUCGGGAAAUAAUAUUUAGCAUCGGCAUGGUGAACUUCUUGAAUUGUAUAAGGAGCAGUAUUCCCACCGAUACAUUGUUGUUCUCCAUUGCCAUCCAUGAACUUUAGGCAUUGAUGCAGUGUUGAAGGGACUACACGAUAUUUAUGUAUCCAUGGUCGCCCCAAAAGUGCAGAGUAUGAAGCAUUGGCCUCUAUAACGAAGAACUUAACUUUGAAACUGUAAGAUGCCAUCUGCAACUUAAGAGUGAUAACACCUAAGGCGGGCUUGGCAUGAUUAUCAUACCCACAAAUUACUACCUCGGUGGGGCUUAGAUCAUCCAUUAUGUACCCUGCUCGAGUUAAGCUUCGUACAGGCAGGAUGUUCACAGCAGAGCCAGGAUCGAUCAAUAUUCUUCGAAGAUGUGCAGCUCCAAUAUUUCCCUCAAUAUAGAGGGGGCGAUUGUGAUCACCAUGCUCCAUUAUUUGGUCCUCAUCAGAAAAGGUUAUCUGAUUAGCAUAGAGUAGAUUGUCAAAGAGUCUGUGCUUGGCCAUUGCCGCUUGAUAAUGUUCAGGCUUUUGCAAAGCUUUAAUAAGAGCCUCUCUAAGUUCCGGUAGAAGCACUAAUGCAUCAUAAACGCUUAGUAGUGCUGGAAUCCGCUUCAAAUGAGCAAUGCCAUUAUAUUCGACAUCAUGCUCUUUUGCCUCCUCGUCCCUCGACUUCUCUUGUUGAUUGUUCGAGACAGUUGCCUCCCUACUUGUGGAUGGUUUAUCUUUCUCUGCUCGGUACUGCUUACUUCUCAUGGGCUCCGGUAGUACCUUUCCUGCCCGCAAGUUCAUAUGUACCUCCAUUUCUUGUUUCUCCAGUGACGUAUCAGUUUGCAAUGCCUCACAUUCUUCCUUUGUGAACACUACUUCAGUCUCUGAGUCAUUUGUACUUCCACUAGAGGCAACCAUGUUGCAUGUAGCAUUCUCAGUACUUAAUUGUGGUCCAUCCGGCAAAUCAUUUUUUACGUCAUGGUGUGACUGGUCCCAGCUUUGCGGGAAAAACUGGGCUAAAGUGGGAUGUACACGCCUUGUCCGAGGAAAAGAUUCAUUCCCUUCAGACCUGGGAAUAAAUCUUGGCGGCAUACGGCGAUGACUCGGGUUGGGACUCCCUCUAUUUGCUGACGUAUAUUGUAAGAUGGACGGACAGCUCAUGGUUCCCUGAUGCACCUUUGUUUGAUUACGUCUAUGAUGAACUCUGCUCCAAGGGUGUGAGCUAUCUUCUGAAACUAUAGGUGUAAGCCGAAGUCCCUGAAACUGAUGUUGAACUUCAGAAAAUGGCAUCCAAUAUGCCUCUUCUGAACCAUGUUUCUGUAGUACCUCUGCUUUAUUAGUGGACACCAUGUUUACUUGAUGAUAAUCAGGAUUCACGGCUUGCGGAUCAAGAUUCAACUUCUUCUCAUCAAUUGCCCUUUGCAACCAUUCUUUAAAAGCGACGCAAUCUUCUACUACAUGACCAACGUAUCGAUGAUACGGGCAAUAUAACGGAUUGUCUGUCAUUCCCGCCUGGUCGGGCCGCCGUGGUUCAGGCAAGUUCAAAGCCCCUUGUUGUGAUAGCUGAUUAAAGAAAUUUUUAACAAACUCUCUCCUGAAUAUAUAUUUCUUUUUAAGCAAUUCUUGAAUACUAGGGCGGGUUCUCUGCCCCUGUUCAUUCCUUACUCCAAGAGCCUGCAUAUUUUGGCGAGGUGCUACAGCCAUCGUAGAUAGCCUGGUAGUAUUACUUUCUGCUUGUAUUUUAGGCUUAUUCCCAUUAUUAAAUGGUUUUGCCGUUGACUGAAACUUCUUCGAGUAAUCUGAAGUGCCUGCAUUUUUGUAUAACUCCAUAAUAUGUGGAGCCUUCUCAAAUUCUAAUUUGGUGGCAGCAACAGCAUUACCAAGUGCUCUGAAAGUUUUAGGCUCGCGCCUAGAAACCUCUAACGACCAAUGUUGCUGCAUUCCGUGCACACACAUGUCGACAGCAUCUUCUGGGUGCAUCUCUCUAGUCAAGCGCACAUAACUGUUACGAAAUCGGACGAUAUAGUCAUCUAUCGUUUCAUCUCUUCUUUGUUUAAGCUGUGACAACUCCAAAAGGGAUGUAUCUUUGCUCAUGCUAAUGAAAUGAGAUUUAAAAAGAUCCUUCAUUGUUUGCCAACUGCGUACUGAACCAGCAGGUAAGCGACUAUACCAAUGAAAGGCCGGACCUGUCAAUGAUGAUGAAAACUGACGAAGUAAAAGUGAGGGCGAAUUGGCUGUGUCACCACACGCUGCUUCAAAAUAGACGAGGUGUUCCCUUGCAUCACCAUUACCAUCAAACUGCCUGAAUUUUGGUGGACGCCAUCCAGCAGGAAAAGCUACCUUGUCAUGCCACGCCUCAUAUGGCUUCUCCAACUCACUUUCAAGGGUUCUAGGUGUUUGUUCUUCUGCAAUUUGCUUCAUUUUUCUGUUGAUCAACUCUUCAGCGAUGUCAUGAUAAUCUCUUAGUGUCCCUAAUGCAGGAGCUGCUGAUAUAGGAUGUGUAGGUGCAAUUGGCAUAUUUAGAUGCACCCCUCCUGUGAAUUGAGGCUGCUCAACUCCACCUGUUGCACGAGGCGUAUGCUGGUGUUGUGCCAUAGCUUCCAACUCGGCAAUUUGUGGAUCCACCACUUGUGGUAGAGGAUUAGCAGAUUGCGUCCCAUUUACAGCAAGGUUUGCAAUCAUAUUAAAUAGUUGAUCGAUCUUUGUAUCAAUAGCAUCCAUCCUUCUACGUGUUUCCCCGUUUAGAGCACCUGAAGUUCCUUCUUGAUGGUGUAAAGAUCGAGCCUUCUCUUCUUCAGUCACAACUGGUCCUGGUGGCAAGUCGUGUUGUUUCCCUGCAUCAUCUUGUGCAAUGGCUGCCAGACCUAGCUCGUCCUGAUUAGUAUGGACAUGAACUGACGCAAGAUUAAUUGCCCGUGCAACAUCCUCAUUAUCCAGAGGCUCUGAGGCGUCAACCUUUGGCAGUGACGAGGAUGACUCCGCGUCUGAUCUUUCAUCUCUAGUUUGUUCAUCCAUGGGAUCAAAAUCUGCAUUUAUAGUUUGUCGAGCCACUUUUCUCAACCGUGUAAGUGCCCCAUAGCGUUCUGCAAUUUGUUGGACCUGAUUCUGAUCAGCAGGAAGACGAGAACUAAUACUGGCAUAAGGUCUGCUAUACUCACUUGCGCGUAACAAAAUUUUAUCUUCCGGAGUUUUAUCACCCCUUGAUGUCAGCGGAAGACAUGAUGCUGUUACCAUCGCACCACUCCUCUGUUUUAUCACAGCAUGCUUUCUUACAUGUUCUUUUGCACAGGGUGAAUUUCUCAUGAAUGAUGGAGUAGGAUUAGGCAGGAUUUCCUCGUCUGACGAGUAAGAGAACUCAUGACGAACAAGUGGCGGCUCCCACUCUGAAUCUGAAUUUUGCACCGACCGGACUGUCGCCAUACGACAUGCCACAUUAUUAAUCAUGUUGCCAGAUCGCCUUCUUCCAUUCCCAUCAUUCCUGAACCUAGUAGUGUUUGAUCCGUUAUCUCGAGGGAUCAACGCAUUAUUUGAUCCUUGUGGAGCUGAAUGAGAACCACCUCUUGGCCUUUCUGUACUGAGGUUCCUUUGCUCAACCCUUAGUGGUUUGGGAGCCAGAUGCUCUAUCAAUGCAUUAUAUCUCUCAUUUCUUUUCAAAUUUGGAGAGAUCUGAAGUGUUACACUUUCAUUAUCCUUAUAAAUUCGGCCAUCAGCCCUCACACGGACCUGCACGUGUCUUAGCACCAAAUCUUGCAAUUCUUGAUACAUCGCUUCACGAGUCCUCCUCCUUCUCUCACGUUUACGCUGAUUAACUGUCGAUGCAUAAGGGACCCUUGGGGUUGCAUCAAAGGUCGGUGCCCCCCGUGAAUACCUUGCAUGUUUCCAAGGUGCUGCCGUCAUGGGGUCAUGUUUCCUUGGUAGAGCAAACUGCUGCGGAACCCGGUUUGAGGACUCAAUGUUUUGCGAAGAUGCUUUCACUCGCCACUGAGGCUUGUAUCUUCUUGUUUUAGGCAGAGGGUGACAACGAUCUCGACGAUUCCCAUGUGGCCAGGGAGUGUUUUCACGAUAAUGAGCGUAUGCGGAUAAUGGUCUGUUCCUAGGUGGAAGAUGCUGAUGUUCAUUUUGAAGUCUACUUUGCAUUGCUCUAAUCUGAUGUUGCAUCUGUUCUAACUGAAGUCGGAGUUCCUCUGCUCUGGGCGCUGGUGUUUCAUUGGUUAGAACAGCAAACCUGUUAUUGUUCUGCGAAGUAGAGUGAUGUCUCUCUGAGGUCUGGAAACAAGGUACCCGUACUUGUUGAUCCCGACUGAUAGAACUUCGUUGAGAACACAAUCUUGGCCAUGUUCGCUCCUUAAUGAUGCGUCUCCAAAAUUCAUUCAUUAUGGUUUCUUUGACCAGCUCGCAACUGGCCCCUCGUUCAGGAGAAAGAACAAGAAACUCAUCGCUCAUAUCAGUGUACUGUUGAUCCUGACGCCUACUCACAUCUGAACUCUCAGGUGGUGCAUCACGCCCGGCAACGCGAGCCCUUAAAUGUGACUGCAACUUCUUCACUUGUUGCCUCUUCCUUCUGUAAUUGCGGUGUGCGUUCUUUUUGUUCAGAGUUCGAGCACGUGCAAUACUAGAAUUCAGGUGUUGCUUGACGUUUUCCAGUUCUUGAAGGAGUUCAGCUUCGGUAGUAUGUGUAGUUUUGGUUUUGAACACUGAGAGGCGUUGCUUAUAGCCGGUGUUCAGAACGGCUCCUGGGAAUUUCAGUAACUUCCUAGCAUCCGUCAUUAAUGCUUGACACUCUCCCCUAGCCCUUGCAUCCACGUACUUCUGAACUUUCUUGGCGUCAUCUAAGUCUGAGGAGUGGUCUGCCUGGUACACAUACAUGUUGGAGCCAAAGCUUGAAACUACAACUGGUGGUAAUGAACCAAACCAAAAAACAAAAGGCUCCAUUUGCUUUGCGUCAGCCUUCGGUCCAUAGUUGGUGAAGCCCCCAUCUGCACGAGAUGUACACUGGUUAGCACUUCACCACACCACAUUAUCAGCCAAAAAAAAAAGUGCCGAGGAGACAGAUCAUGAGUAGAUUCUGAUGACUGAUGACGAGCAGCGAAGAUGGGAGGAGAGUCGAGUCCCACUGGGCGUGCCAUUUGUUUUAAUGCGAGAUAAAUAUCAAAUUUAUCCGUGUUGGCGUUUUAAGUGCGGGCGUGCCAGUAGACGAGUGUAUACGAAUUAAAACAAAAUAAAAUAAAGCACACAAAAUUAUGCGGAGAAACUUGUAGUCUUUAUUGCUGAAGAUAUACAAAUCUCAUUUUUACAUGCUCUUGGUAUAGCAUCUGACAUAUAAAAGACAAUUGCGUAAUUCUCGACUCCUAGAACCUCGAAGGGAUCUCUAGUUAAUUACAUUCAUAGCAUAUCUAUGAAAGACCUCCGAUUAAGCUGCCUCAAACGGUCAUCAUCAUUAUCAAACUCCUGGCUUCUGUCUCCAAGGCAAAAAGAAUAUGCAAACGCUCUGAGCAAAAAAAAAUAAUCUCGCCAUGCUAAAAAUUUAUGGAUUCAUGCACCAAAUCAAACAAGGGAUAUAGAUCAAGUCUCAAAGAGAAAAUAAAGUGGAUCGUUCGGCCUCAUCGGUCACGAACAUGGUGUAUCCUGCCUCGUCGGCCAGGAAGUGUAUGUAAGUUUCGGCCUCGUCGGUCGCGGAAGAAAGUGUAUUGAGCAUGGACUUGAAGAUGAACCCUCAUCUGAUUGAGAAACAUGGUUCUGCAGAAUUUUGUCAAUGGCGUCUUGUUUAUUCCAGAGUAGGUAGCCAUGUCUUUAUUAAUAUUGGAUUAUCUCAUGAUGAGAAACCAUCCUUUGUAUAUCACGUGACCCCCUUGCUACCUCUGAAUAUAUGAAUAUGUAUGCUGAACGAUGAUGUUGACUUUUUUUUACAGCUAUAUUGCUUUCCCUUGUAACUCCAUACCAUGAAAUGUUUACGGCGACGAUUGAAGCGUCAGGUAGAGCCACGAAACAUCAUAACCUUCCCUUUUCCUUUUACUGAUCAAACCAUAAACAUCCGUGGCGACGACUUGAUCGCCAUGUAGAGCCACGGGAUGCCAUCAAACUGUUUUUCUGUAGAUCGGGUGAUAGAACGUCCGCGGCGACGAUUAGAUCGUCAUGUAGAGUCGCGGAUGCCGCCGAAUUCUUUCUAUAGAUCAAACAAGGAAACACCCGCGACGGCGAUUAGAUCGCCAUGUAGAGCCGCGGGACACCGCCGAUUUUUGUUGUAGAUCAAACGAUGAGAUAUCCACGGCGACGACUAGAUCGUCAUGUAGAGCCGCGGGACACCGCCGAUUUUUGUUGUAGAUCAAACGAUGAGACAUCCACGGCGACGAUUAGAUCGCCAUGUAGAGCCGCGAGAUGCCACAAAAAGAAGUGAACAAAGAGAAGAAAAAUAAAUAAAAGAGAUAAAUGAUCAUAUGCAACCUUCAUAUGAUUUACUCACCAUAUGGCUGUGCCAUCGACGCCGGCCACGGAGGGAAACGCCAGACGAAAAAUGAAGAUGUGUGUAUGUGUGAGUGCUGGGAUGGAGAUGAUACGAAGUGUGUGUGUGUGUGUGUUGAAUGGUGGUGAGAUGAGCGUGUAAAUGGUGCG